RNAcentral lists this transfer RNA (54 nucleotides) under Cryptomeria japonica (Japanese cedar). RNAcentral's name for it is "partial tRNA-Pro". The record is from RNAcentral. Lineage: Eukaryota; Viridiplantae; Streptophyta; Pinopsida; Cupressales; Cupressaceae. RNAcentral also lists the same sequence under 13 other names.
UAGGGAUGACAGGAUUUGAACCUGCGACAUUUUGUACCCAAAACAAACGCGCUA